GCACCAGUAGCUCAGCGCCAGAGCGCCGGCCUUGUAAGUCGGACGCCGGAGGUUAAACCCCUCCCUAGUGCU
This 72-nucleotide transfer RNA is filed under the name Proterorhinus semilunaris (tubenose goby). RNAcentral describes it as "tRNA-Thr". It matches the Rfam family "tRNA". From Rfam's summary of the family: Transfer RNA (tRNA) molecules are approximately 80 nucleotides in length. Their secondary structure includes four short double-helical elements and three loops (D, anti-codon, and T loops). The record is from RNAcentral. Lineage: Eukaryota; Metazoa; Chordata; Actinopteri; Gobiiformes; Gobiidae.